AGUGAACGCUGGCGGUAGGCCUAACACAUGCAAGUCGAACGGCAGCACAGUAAGAGCUUGCUCUUACGGGUGGCGAGUGGCGGACGGGUGAGGAAUACAUCGGAAUCUACUUUUUCGUGGGGGAUAACGUAGGGAAACUUACGCUAAUACCGCAUACGACCUACGGGUGAAAGCAGGGGAUCUUCGGACCUUGCGCGAUUGAAUGAGCCGAUGUCGGAUUAGCUAGUUGGCGGGGUAAAGGCCCACCAAGGCGACGAUCCGUAGCUGGUCUGAGAGGAUGAUCGGACACACUGGAACUGAGACACGGUCCAGACUCCUACGGGAGGCAGCAGUGGGGAAUAUUGGACAAUGGGAGCAAGCCUGAUCCAGCCAUACCGCGUGGGUGAAGAAGGCCUUCGGGUUGUAAAGACCUUUUGUUGGGAAAGAAAAGCAGCAGGUUAAUACCCCGCUGUUCUGACGGUACCCAAAGAAUAAGCACCGGCUAACUUCGUG
Molecule: ribosomal RNA, 492 nt
Filed under: uncultured bacterium
Lineage: Bacteria
Description: partial 16S ribosomal RNA
Rfam family: Bacterial small subunit ribosomal RNA
Source: RNAcentral